RNAcentral lists this ribosomal RNA (491 nucleotides) under uncultured bacterium. RNAcentral describes it as "partial 16S ribosomal RNA". It matches the Rfam family "Bacterial small subunit ribosomal RNA", at positions 28 to 507 of the family's 1533-position model. The record is from RNAcentral.
GAUGAACGCUGGCUACAGGCUUAACACAUGCAAGUCGAGGGGAAACGACGGGGAAGCUUGCUUCCCCGGGCGUCGACCGGCGCACGGGUGAGUAACGCGUAUCCAACCUGCCUCUGACUGAGGGAUAACCCGUCGAAAGUCGGCCUAAUACCUCAUGGUAUCGUCUGCGGGCAUCCAACGACGAUUAAAGAUUUCAUCGGUCAGGGAUGGGGAUGCGUCUGAUUAGCUUGUUGGCGGGGUAACGGCCCACCAAGGCUACGAUCAGUAGGGGUUCUGAGAGGAAGGUCCCCCACAUUGGAACUGAGACACGGUCCAAACUCCUACGGGAGGCGGCAGUGAGGAAUAUUGGUCAAUGGGCGAGAGCCUGAACCAGCCAAGUAGCGUGCAGGAAGACGGCCCUAUGGGUUGUAAACUGCUUUUAUGCGGGGAUAAAGUGAGGGACGUGUCCCUCAUUGCAGGUACCGCAUGAAUAAGGACCGGCUAAUUCCGUG